This is an RNA transcript of Chelonia mydas (Green sea turtle), 1147 nucleotides long. It is a transcript of the gene named olfactory receptor 1019, with no coding region annotated. The transcript has a single exon. NCBI's taxonomy places the organism in Eukaryota, Metazoa, Chordata, Testudines, Cheloniidae. The record is from RefSeq and is a predicted model, not a curated record.
AUGCAGUGUGUAUUUUAUCGAACAACUGGAAAGACCAGCUGUGAACAACUGGUUCUGUGGAAUAAGCUCUUCCCUGAGCGGGUACCAAUGUCCAUGAGGAAACUGAUCUCCAUUUAACUUCAUUUACUUCAUUACAGAGAAGGGACAGGUUUUCCGCACCAUCCACCUUCCCACAUCUCUGUAGCAGCCUGAUCUCUGUUCAGAGGAGAUGGAAGAGGGAAAUCACUCGGAGAUGACUGAGUUCAUUCUCUCAGGACUGACAGAAAGUCUGGAGCUGCAGGUUCCCCUCUUUGGGGUGUUCCUACUGAUUUAUGGUAUCACCCUUGUGGGGAAUGGGGGGAUGAUCUUGUUAAUCACAAUUGAUCCCUGACUCCACACCCCCAUGUACUUUUUCCUCAGGAAUUUGUCUUUCUGUGACCUCUGUCUUUCCUUUAUAAUUUCCCCCAAGAUGCUGCUGAAUUUCUUAGCCGAGAGGAAAAGCAUUUCUUACACUGCCUGCGCUGUGCAAAUGCAUCUCUCUAUCAUGUUUGGAGAUGCUGAGUGCCUCUUGCUGGCUGUGAUGGCGUUUGACCGUUAUGUGGCCAUCUGUAACCCACUGCUCUAUACAGUCACAAUGUCCAGGCAGCUUUGUAAAGGGCUCGUGGCUGGGGCAUACGCUGUGGCGAUGAUGGAUUCAAUGAUAAACUCGUGUUUUAUAUUUCAGCUGUCAUUCUGCAGCUCCAACAUCAUCGAUCAUUUCUUCUGUGACAUCCCCCCACUGUUGGCUCUCUCCUGUUCUGACACCCACAUCACUGAGAAUGUGAUCUUUACUUUCGCGUGCUGCGUUAUAAUGAGCAGCUUUGUGACUGUGCUCCUCUCCUAUGUCUAUAUCAUCUCCACCAUCCUGCAGAUCUGCUCUGCCAAGGGCCAGCGCAAAGCCUUCUCCACCUGCAUUUUCCACUUGACCUCUGUGGUUCUGCUUUUUGGCACCCUCCUCUUCAUGUAUUUACGUCCCACCUCCAGCUAUUCCACGGACAGAGAUAAAGUGGCCUCAGUGUUUUACACGCUGGUGAUCCCCAUGUUGAACCCCCUCAUCUACAGCCUGAGGAACAAGGAGGUGAUAGAUGCCCUGAGGAAAGCAAUCAAUAAAUUCCUAAGAAAUUCUUGA